RNAcentral lists this ribosomal RNA (468 nucleotides) under uncultured bacterium. RNAcentral's name for it is "partial 16S ribosomal RNA". It matches the Rfam family "Bacterial small subunit ribosomal RNA", at positions 28 to 507 of the family's 1533-position model. The record is from RNAcentral.
GACGAACGCUGGCGGCGUGCUUAACACAUGCAAGUCGAACGGAAAGGCCCUGCUUUUGUGGGGUGCUCGAGUGGCGAACGGGUGAGUAACACGUGAGUAACCUGCCCUUGACUUUUGGAUAACUUCAGGAAACUGUGGCUAAUACCGGAUAGGAGCUCCUGCUGCAUGGUGGGGGUUGGAAAGUUUCGGCGGUUGGGGAUGGACUCGCGGCUUAUCAGCUUGUUGGUGGGGUAGUGGCUUACCAAGGCUUUGACGGGUAGCCGGCCUGAGAGGGUGACCGGCCACAUUGGGACUGAGAGACGGCCCAGACUCCUACGGGAGGCAGCAGUGGGGAAUAUUGCACAAUGGGCGGAAGCCUGAUGCAGCAACGCCGCGUGCGGGAUGACGGCCUUCGGGUUGUAAACCGCUGUCGCCUGUGACGAAGCGUGAGUGACGGUAAUGGGUAAAGAAGCACCGGCUAACUACGUG